AUACGAAGGGUGCAAGCGUUAAUCGGAAUUACUGGGCGUAAAGCGCGCGUAGGUGGUUUUGUAAGUUGGAGGUGAAAGCCCCGGGCUCAACCUGGGAAUUGCCUCCAAAACUGCAUGACUAGAGUACGGUAGAGGGUAGUGGAAUUUCCUGUGUAGCGGUGAAAUGCGUAGAUAUAGGAAGGAACACCAGUGGCGAAGGCGACAACCUGGAGUGAUCCGGGCACGGAGGGGCGAAAGGGUGGGGGACAAACGGGAUUAGAUCCCCUGGUAGUCCACGCCGUAAACGAUGUCAACUAGCCGUUGGGAUCCUUGAGAUCUUAGUGGCGCAGCUAACGCAUUAAGUUGACCGCCGGGGGAGUACGGCCGCAAGGUUAAAACUCAAAUGAAUUGACGGGG
RNAcentral lists this ribosomal RNA (396 nucleotides) under uncultured bacterium. RNAcentral describes it as "partial 16S ribosomal RNA". It matches the Rfam family "Bacterial small subunit ribosomal RNA", at positions 523 to 918 of the family's 1533-position model. The record is from RNAcentral.